UGGCUCAGGAUGAACGCUGGCGGCGUGCCUAAUACAUGCAAGUCGAACGAGUUCUGAUUAUUGAAAGGUGCUUGCAUCUUGAUUUUAAUUUUGAACGAGUGGCGGACGGGUGAGUAACACGUGGGUAACCUGCCCUUAAGUGGGGGAUAACAUUUGGAAACAGAUGCUAAUACCGCAUAAAUCCAAGAACCGCAUGGUUCUUGGCUGAAAGAUGGCGUAAGCUAUCGCUUUUGGAUGGACCCGCGGCGUAUUAGCUAGUUGGUGAGGUAACGGCUCACCAAGGCAAUGAUACGUAGCCGAACUGAGAGGUUGAUCGGCCACAUUGGGACUGAGACACGGCCCAAACUCCUACGGGAGGCAGCAGUAGGGAAUCUUCCACAAUGGACGCAAGUCUGAUGGAGCAACGCCGCGUGAGUGAAGAAGGCUUUCGGGUCGUAAAACUCUGUUGUUGGAGAAGAAUGGUCGGCAGAGUAACUGUUGUCGGCGUGACGGUAUCCAACCAGAAAGCCACGGCUAACUACGUGCCAGCAGCCGCGGUAAUACGUAGGUGGCAAGCGUUAUCCGGAUUUAUUGGGCGUAAAGCGAGCGCAGGCGGUUUUUUAAGUCUGAUGUGAAAGCCCUCGGCUUAACCGAGGAAGUGCAUCGGAAACUGGGAAACUUGAGUGCAGAAGAGGACAGUGGAACUCCAUGUGUAGCGGUGAAAUGCGUAGAUAUAUGGAAGAACACCAGUGGCGAAGGCGGCUGUCUGGUCUGUAACUGACGCUGAGGCUCGAAAGCAUGGGUAGCGAACAGGAUUAGAUACCCUGGUAGUCCAUGCCGUAAACGAUGAAUGCUAGGUGUUGGAGGGUUUCCGCCCUUCAGUGCCGCAGCUAACGCAUUAAGCAUUCCGCCUGGGGAGUACGACCGCAAGGUUGAAACUCAAAGGAAUUGACGGGGGCCCGCACAAGCGGUGGAGCAUGUGGUUUAAUUCGAAGCAACGCGAAGAACCUUACCAGGUCUUGACAUCUCUUGAUCACCUGAGAGAUCAGGUUUCCCCUUCGGGGGCAAAAUGACAGGUGGUGCAUGGUUGUCGUCAGCUCGUGUCGUGAGAUGUUGGGUUAAGUCCCGCAACGAGCGCAACCCUUAUGACUAGUUGCCAGCAUUUAGUUGGGCACUCUAGUAAGACUGCCGGUGACAAACCGGAGGAAGGUGGGGAUGACGUCAAAUCAUCAUGCCCCUUAUGACCUGGGCUACACACGUGCUACAAUGGAUGGUACAACGAGUUGCGAGACCGCGAGGUCAAGCUAAUCUCUUAAAGCCAUUCUCAGUUCGGACUGUAGGCUGCAACUCGCCUACACGAAGUCGGAAUCGCUAGUAAUCGCGGAUCAGCACGCCGCGGUGAAUACGUUCCCGGGCCUUGUACACACCGCCCGUCACACCAUGAGAGUUUGUAACACCCGAAGCCGGUGAAGUAACCCUUUUAGGGAGCGAGCCGUCUAAGGUGGG
This 1485-nucleotide ribosomal RNA is filed under the name uncultured organism. RNAcentral's name for it is "16S ribosomal RNA". It matches the Rfam family "Bacterial small subunit ribosomal RNA". The record is from RNAcentral.